RNAcentral lists this microRNA (21 nucleotides) under Medicago truncatula (barrel medic). Its description in RNAcentral is "mtr-miR2586a". The record is from miRBase by way of RNAcentral. Lineage: Eukaryota; Viridiplantae; Streptophyta; Magnoliopsida; Fabales; Fabaceae.
CGAGGAGUGUCCGUGCUUCAU